RNAcentral lists this ribosomal RNA (458 nucleotides) under Achromobacter sp. NaF-BI-1. RNAcentral's name for it is "bacterial SSU rRNA". It matches the Rfam family "Bacterial small subunit ribosomal RNA", at positions 30 to 481 of the family's 1533-position model. Lineage: Bacteria; Pseudomonadati; Pseudomonadota; Betaproteobacteria; Burkholderiales; Alcaligenaceae. The record is from RNAcentral.
AUUGAACGCUAGCGGGAUGCCUUACACAUGCAAGUCGAACGGCAGCACGGACUUCGGUCUGGUGGCGAGUGGCGAACGGGUGAGUAAUGUAUCGGAACGUGCCUAGUAGCGGGGGAUAACUACGCGAAAGCGUAGCUAAUACCGCAUACGCCCUACGGGGGAAAGCAGGGGAUCGCAAGACCUUGCACUAUUAGAGCGGCCGAUAUCGGAUUAGCUAGUUGGUGGGGUAACGGCUCACCAAGGCGACGAUCCGUAGCUGGUUUGAGAGGACGACCAGCCACACUGGGACUGAGACACGGCCCAGACUCCUACGGGAGGCAGCAGUGGGGAAUUUUGGACAAUGGGGGAAACCCUGAUCCAGCCAUCCCGCGUGUGCGAUGAAGGCCUUCGGGUUGUAAAGCACUUUUGGCAGGAAAGAAACGUCAUGGGCUAAUACCCCGUGAAACUGACGGUACCUG